Molecule: ribosomal RNA, 477 nt
Filed under: uncultured bacterium
Lineage: Bacteria
Description: bacterial SSU rRNA
Rfam family: Bacterial small subunit ribosomal RNA
Source: RNAcentral
CGGCAUGCCUUACACAUGCAAGUCGAACGGCAGCAUGGAAGAGCUUGCUCUUCUGAUGGCGAGUGGCGAACGGGUGAGUAAAGCAUCGGAACGUACCUUUCAGUGGGGAUAACGUAGCGAAAGUUACGCUAAUACCGCAUAUUCUGUGAGCAGGAAAGCAGGGGAUCGCAAGACCUUGCGCUGAUUGAGCGGCCGAUAUCAGAUUAGCUAGUUGGUGAGGUAAAGGCUCACCAAGGCGACGAUCUGUAGCGGGUCUGAGAGGAUGAUCCGCCACACUGGAACUGAGACACGGUCCAGACUCCUACGGGAGGCAGCAGUGGGGAAUUUUGGACAAUGGGCGCAAGCCUGAUCCAGCCAUGCCGCGUGAGUGAAGAAGGCCUUCGGGUUGUAAAGCUCUUUCAGCCGGGAAGAAAACGCAUGGGUUAAUACCCUGUGUGGAUGACGGUACCGGAAUAAGAAGCACCGGCUAACUACGUG